RNAcentral lists this ribosomal RNA (468 nucleotides) under uncultured bacterium. RNAcentral describes it as "partial 16S ribosomal RNA". It matches the Rfam family "Bacterial small subunit ribosomal RNA", at positions 28 to 507 of the family's 1533-position model. The record is from RNAcentral.
GACGAACGCUGGCGGCGUGCUUAACACAUGCAAGUCGAACGGAAAGGCCCUGCUUUUGUGGGGUGCUCGAGUGGCGAACGGGUGAGUAACACGUGAGUAACCUGCCCUUGACUUUGGGAUAACUUCAGGAAACUGGGGCUAAUACCGGAUAGGAGCUCCUGCUGCAUGGUGGGGGUUGGAAAGUUUCGGCGGUUGGGGAUGGACUCGCGGCUUAUCAGCUUGUUGGUGGGGUAGUGGCUUACCAAGGCUUUGACGGGUAGCCGGCCUGAGAGGGUGACCGGCCACAUUGGGACUGAGGUACGGCCCAGAGUCCUACGGGAGGCAGCAGGGGGGAAUAUUGCACAAUGGGCGGAAGCCUGAUGCAGCAACGCCGCGUGCGGGAUGACGGCCUUCGGGUUGUAAACCGCUUUCGCCUGUGACGAAGCGUGAGUGACGGUAAUGGGUAAAGAAGCACCGGCUAACUACGUG